RNAcentral lists this ribosomal RNA (464 nucleotides) under uncultured bacterium. RNAcentral describes it as "partial 16S ribosomal RNA". It matches the Rfam family "Bacterial small subunit ribosomal RNA", at positions 28 to 507 of the family's 1533-position model. The record is from RNAcentral.
GACGAACGCUGGCGGCGUGCUUAACACAUGCAAGUCGAACGGAAAGGCCCAGCUUGCUGGGUGCUCGAGUGGCGAACGGGUGAGUAACACGUGGGUGAUCUGCCCCUAACUUCGGGAUAAGCUUGGGAAACUGGGUCUAAUACCGGAGAGGACAAUCGUUUCGUGUCGGUUGUGGAAAGUUUUUUCGGUUAGGGAUGAGCCCGCGGCCUAUCAGCUUGUUGGUGGGGUAAUGGCCUACCAAGGCGUCGACGGGUAGCCGGCCUGAGAGGGUGGACGGCCACAUUGGGACUGAGAUACGGCCCAGACUCCUACGGGAGGCAGCAGUGGGGAAUAUUGCACAAUGGGCACAAGCCUGAUGCAGCGACGCCGCGUGGGGGAUGACGGCCUUCGGGUUGUAAACCUCUUUCGACAGGGACGAAGCUUUGGUGACGGUACCUGUAUAAGAAGCACCGGCUAACUACGUG